GGCGAAAAAAGCGAGUCUGCUUUAUUUAUAUUUUACCAUAACCUUGAGUCAAGCAAAGCCUUCUGAGUUUGGUUAACAGAAAAUGUGUGGAAGCCCCUAAUCCAGUUAAACAUCAUCACCUGACCUGUGGGUGUCCUUAGUUGUUAUACUUUGUUACACACAUUCGAUCGGAGGAUCACUCCCACCACUGGUUUUUGAAGCCUUGAGAAAGCUUAUGGUCGCUAACCAUUUUCAUCUGACUAAGCAAUAAAAUAAUUUAUAUAUAAUGCAUAAUUCGCUUGAAAAAUAAAACGAACAUUAUUAUGCUCUUUGUUUUUUUUACACACAUUUUUUUAAACUCCGUGUUUAAAUCGUUAAAUCGUUAUUGGUUACCGUAAGUUAAGUCACCUUAAUAAUGACGAAAUUUCUCUUUGUAAAUAGCUAAAUAUAACGAUACAUUUCAUUUUCUUCCCGGAUAAAUAUUUUAACGUGCAUAAGUUGUAUUGAUUUUUCGUGUAACUGAAGCACUUUCAAAACUAGGGUCUUCAAUUAUGAUUGAGAAAGCAAUAAAUUGUUUUUUCAGGAUGCAGUCUCUGUCAACCCAUGGGAUGAGGCUUACCGAGAUCAUUUAAAAGACACUUGUGACUAUGCAUUACCUUUCUUAAAUCGAUCUACCUCAGAUACAGCCUCUCACGAUAGAACUCUGUCCAAAAAGCGAUUGAAAAAAUUUGUUUCUCGUAGAAAAUGGCAGAAGGCAACAAACGCCAUGGUUGCUCUGAAACGCAUGGGAGUCCGGUUGGUAUAAUACCUAUCAAUAUGAACUUUGUUACGGUGAUCUGAGUGCUACAUAUUUCUGCAGUUGGUUGUCUUCAUUGAACGAACCGUCCACAUCUACCUAUGUCAAACUGUAAUGUCCACAGGAAGACAUUUAUUAUUUUUUUUUUUCUGUUUACUUCUUUAUUCACACCAACACACAUUCCUUUAAGAUGUCACCGGCAAUAUCUAGAAGAUACUUAUUAAGGAUUAUAUAAUCAAAUAAUCUGUUCAACACAGGAUUAAUACGUAUAUGUAUGUGUAAUAC
This 1060-nucleotide long non-coding RNA is filed under the name Octopus sinensis (East Asian common octopus). RNAcentral's name for it is "uncharacterized LOC115214130, transcript variant X1". The record is from RNAcentral. Lineage: Eukaryota; Metazoa; Mollusca; Cephalopoda; Octopoda; Octopodidae.